GUUUCUUAUGCACUGCUUCAUUCCUUAUAUAACUGCAACAGCCAAGAGUGGCUCAGGCCACAGAGGAACCUGAAACUCAAUCUGUUUCACCCACAUGGGUGGCAGGGAUCCCACUACUUUAGCCAUCAUCUGCUGCCUUCCAAGGUUGCACUGUAGCAGGAAUCUAGAACCAGGAGCAGAGUCAGGACUCAAACCUCUGCACUCUGAUAUGGGACACAGGCAUCCCAAUGGGGUCUUCUGUACCAAAUGUCUGCUCCUCCAUGAAUUUUUGAAGUAUACUGUACAUGGGCAGGGGUCUCAGAUGGAUAAUUUACUUUCAAAUAUUUGAGAAAUAAACAAUCAGAUGUAUGAGUGUUUGACUUUCUGCAAAUUACCUCUUGUAGAAGCCCCUGGACUACAGGUGGAAGGCAAAUGAAUUCCGGCCAGUCCUUUCUAGAUGAUUGCCCCACACUUUGAAGUCAUUGAACUAUGAUGGCUUCCAUGUCCUGCUAACACCUGUCAGUCUUCCCCUAUCUGUCCCACUGUUAACAGUUAAAACUAAUUUCAUUUCCCUAUAUUUAUAUUAUUAUUUACCAUCUAAAUGAAUAGAUUGAUAUCCCUUGGAUCAUUAACAUUCUCUGUCAGGCCCCUUGGGGAACAUUUCUUUUUCUGACAACACCACUUGCUAAGUUUUCUCCUCUGAGCUGUAAGGGCAUAUGUUCCACCUGGAGGAGGAUUUCAUUCCCUGUUUUUAAAACCUGCCCCUCCCAGGCGUUCCUUGGAGAGAUGGUCCCCUCCGCCACUUUGAGGUUCAGGGGCAGUCUCAGGCUACUCCCUUGAGGCCAUCAGAAGAUGCUGUGACUCAUGGAUUAUUGUAUGCUCAAGUCAGCUUGUGGGAGUCAUAUUUGUUGUAUGCAAGCAACAAAGGUGAAUUAUUGAACUAACAGCUUCCUCAGGUACGGGCUGUGCAGUGUGAUCAAUUAUGUAUAAUGUUCACUCAGGCAAGAAAUGAAAUGAAGUGACUAUAAGCUGGAGUGCUCCAAGGCUGCUGGAACUAUUUCCCCUUCAAACAUGGGAGAGCACGUUGGCCACUUUGUAGUGCCUUGCACUUGCUCAUGUGGCUGUACGGAUGAGAGGGACACCUGACUUGUCAGGGGAAGGUGAUAUACUCACCUCUGUUUUGAUUUGAUGUGGUGCUGUCUCUCCAAGUCCUGUGGUAAACUUUGUCUGAUUUUUCUUGUCCCUCAUAAAUAAUGCAUGGCAAGUAGCAAUAAUAGCAAUAAUAAUAACUACCACUAUUGACUGUGUUAGGUGUAUAACUCUGGGUGUGAGUAUGGCAUUAAAUCCUCAUAAUGAGUCUAUGAGGUAGGCACUAUCAUAAACCCAUUAUCCAGUGGAUGAAAUAGGGCCUCAGAAAGGUUGUAUGGCUGGGAAUGGGGAAAGUCCAGGCUGCCUGGCCCUGAAGCUUCAUGCUAUUAACCACAUCAUACUGCUUUUGGGCACGUUAGACAUUUUAAUUAUUGUUGGUUGAGUGAAUAAAUGGAUGCACGAAUAAAUGUGAGAGUCAAUGGCCUCUCAGGGGAGAUAUGAAAGCCAAAUGCCCUCUCUAAAAAUGGAAGUGGGGUUUGUAUCCUGUUUAAAUCCUGAAGAGAGAGGGAGGCAGCUGCUCCUUGGUCACUGACCAUCUGCUCUCUGAAGAUGUACUGGUUUAGACUCAGCUCUGGCGCAAGACCAUCCUGUUCACCAAUGUGUCCCAGCAUAAAUCAGGAGUUGAAAAUAUUUGAAUGAACAUGAUGAUGCUUAUCAAAGCAGCUACUGGUUUCUGGAACAAAAAGCUGAAUAAACACAUUUGCGCCAGUGAUUGGAAAGAGAGCAAAACAAUGGGAGAUGAGGAGACGAAAGGGGAACGGCAGGAGGAAUCUGAAAAUGAUGCUUGCACAGAGCUUCUGGGAGCAAAGGCACUGAGCUCUGGGUCCCUUACUUUAUCUACCUCCCCCCAGCUCUGGCCCACGAAGGACAAAUGCCAUCAACUUGCUCCUUGGACAUUCAGGAAAGUCUACUGUCAGGCCGUAAGUGAUGUUUGGCUCAUUUAUCUCCUUUUUUCCUUUCCUUGCAUUUUUCUUUUUAAUUUAAAAAAUGUCCUAGUGUAUAAACCCAUUCAAAAGCUGUAAAUACGUAAUUUCCAUACUCAGAGAUAUAUUUGGAACGCUGGGUAAUGCCAUGUGACAAAAAAUAUGGCCCAUUUGAGAGUUUUUUUUUUUUUUAAGAAAAUUUCCUUUCUUUCUUUAUAUUGGGGUGGAGACUGAUGGUAACAUGUCAGUGGGCUUUUUGCAGAGUCCAUGUCUCAUGAAAAGAUGUGGGUUUUUGAUUUUUAACAUACUAAACAAAACACACGUGGAGCAUAUCUGCUGUCAAUUUCACAUGGUUUUUCUAUUGAACAAGGGUUCACAAGUUUGGUAGAGCAUCUUGGGAGUUUGGUUGACCACAGAGUAUCUGAAAUAUGUUUUUAGCUGUUUUGCCCAACCUGCUUUGUCAUAGUUAAUUACUAGUCAUUAAUCUUCUUGUCUUUGGAGUGAGAAGAAGAGUAGGUGUCACAAGUACUUUGACCUUAAGAAGUCUAGAGUUUUCAUAAUUGUCAUUUUUGGCUGCUGUUGUGAAUUUUUCCUUGGCAACAAAUUUGGAGUAGGAUGUGUAUAGCUUUACUAAGAUUUGAUGCUUGUAUCUCUUUCAUGUUUACUUUCUGAAUGCUAUUCAUGAUAGUCAUUCAAAUAUUUCGGUCAUGUUCACUUAGUUCUCACUUUUACAAACUGAGUAUCAAGUGCCUAUUUUGUGGGAGUGUUGUAGUAGGUGGCUAGCUAGUCUGAUGUACACUUCGUGGUCAGUUCAUGUUUCCCUGCUGUCUCAGAUAUGCCAAGCCAGCUCAGGCCUGGGCUCGUGUGCACAGUGUGCUCCUAGACAGGAAAGGCCAAACCACAGGAGGGAAAGUAAGGAUGUCCAUGCACUCUGUAUGCACUAGGCACUCAAUAAAUGCCUAUUAAGCAAUCAAGUGACUACAGUAGUGAGCGGGAUUCAUGAAAAAACAAUUAAAGGAAACAGUCACACUGUUUAUACAUCAGACAUAAUUAUGUCCCUCAGUCCCAUAUCCUGGGGUUUUUCUGUUGAUGUGCUAGUAGCAAUGGUAUCUUGCACCAGUAGUGGACAGAAUUGGCUAUGAAUCCUGCCUCCACUAUAUUUAACUGUGGACUCUGACAAGUAAUUAAUCUCUCUGAGUCAGGGUACUCACAAAACAGGUAGUGCUCCAUAGCACUGUGUGAAAAUUCAACAAGCUUACUCAGAACACAGUUCUCCCCCCAACCUUGGAAGGCCUCUACUAGAUGCCUAAUAAAUGUUAGUUGCCUUCUUCCUCCUCUCCUCUUCCUCUCUUCCUUUUCCCCCUCUUCCGGCAUCCUCACAAGUAAAUUAGGAAUAAGUGUUGUACCCUUAUCUGUGGAACUAUCAUUGAAACUAACUGUAAAAUCCCGAGACUUGUGCCUUCUCGCACACAUCAAGUGCUGCAUUUAGCUGAUGUUAACUUUAUCUCACACAGCAUGUUGGUGGUACAGACAGGGCAGGGCAAGUCUAUAUAAACAUCUUUUCCUGAUUUGGAUCCAGGAAAGAAAUACAAAUAAAAGGAAAUAAAUAGCUUAUGUAACUUAGCUGCUUUUUUCUUUUAGGCCAUUUGGUUUUUUGGUUGUCUUUCUGAGGCAUUUCAAACUUGGUCAGCUUAACUUGGAAAUAUUUAAAUAAAAGCAUUUUCCAUCUUGUCCUGGCCAGGCUAUCUCUUCUAGGACUGGUCCAAGAUGCUACUGAUAUCCCCAGGCCAGAGAAGCAAUUCAUUGAUUUAAACAUGUUGUUUAAAACUCUGAUACAAAGACACAAAUGAAGAAAAGAUGCCUGGAGUCCACAAGCCGUGGCCUGAACGAAUUCCAUGCGCAUGACCUGAACAUUUGAACCCUUGUUGUGUAGGAUUUUUCGUACAUGUUUCAUGGUGUGGCUUCACCUGCAGGUGCUUCAACAUGGCGACAUCAUUGUUACCGUCACGUGGGUGAAAUGCAAAGUGAGGAUUGAACUGGAGUUCCUGGUUGCAUUUUUUUCCAGGUUGUAUGAUCUUGGACAAAACGUGACAACUCCGGGCAAAACUCUGUCUUCUCAUAGACCUGCAAGGAAGAACCCUGGAACUGAAACUCAUGGCUUUCUGAUUGAUGAUGUACACCCAUCACCAAGGAGUAAGGAUGAUUGUCGCUCCCCCUCUUCGUGGAGGAACGACACAGAACCCUGCCUAGGCUUCAUAUCCGAGUCACGGCACCAUUAUGUCGCUCCCCGUCUUUGUGGAGGAACGACACAGGACCCUGCGCUGUUCUUUCGUCUGCUCGGCCCUCCCCGGGUUUGCUGCUGGUUCUUCCCGGGUUGGCUACCGUCCCUUCCACCUCCGUGGAAGGGCGGUUCCCCCUGCCACAUUCCCCACUUCCGCGGGGGAGCGGCACACCACCGGCCGGCUCUCUCGGGGGCUGCACAGGUGUUCCUUCAGAUAGAUGUUCCUGGUGCAUGUUGUCUCUCUCCUCCUUUAUAGUCCUCUUCCACCAAUCCCAACUCUGCUACCCACACGCCGAGUACGCUGCUCUCCUCCAAUCAGGAGUAGGUCCUACAGUUUAUUGGUUGAACUGGAGGCAGCUGUGUAGAAGCUGUUUCUCCUCUCCCAGCGCCAUAUUGUGGGAGAGCAGAUGCAUAGAAUAAGUCUUAAUUCCAGUAACUUAGUCUAGUCCGAGUUGCUCCCAAUUGCUCCCCACAGAUGAUUUUUACUCAGUCUAUUGAUUCAAAUGCGGCUCUCUCCCAGAAAUGCCCUCACAGGCACACCCAGGUGUUGUUUGAUCAGCUAUCCAGACAUCCCAUGGCCCAUUCAAGUUGAUACAUCAGGUAGCACAGAAUCAGUUAGGUCCACUUAGGUAAGAAAGUGGGACAAAGGUGUUAAGACUCAAGCCUGGACCUGCCUGUUUCUGUGUUCUCUUUAUUCCUUGGUAAAGCUAAAAUCUUCCUAUUCAGGAUAUUUUCAGCCUGGCAGAAAGAGGACUGUCCUCUCGGGGGGACAGAGGGGACUCUCAGGGCUUCUAUCCCAGGGCAAAGGAAGACACAGCACACACACACACCAGCAUUGGUUCCAUGUUCCUGGCUUGAGAGAGAAGCUUUUUAAAAUCUGAGGGAAGCCAGCGCCGCAGCUCACUAGGCUAAUCCUCCGCCUUGCAGUGCCGGCACACUGGGUUCUAGUCCCGGUCGGGGCACCGGAUUCUGUCCUGGUUGCCCCUCUUCCAGGCCAGCUCUCUGCUGUGGCCCAGGAAGGCAGUGGAGGAUGGCCCAAGUGCUUGGGCCCUGCACCCCAUGGGAGACCAGGAAAAGCACCUGGCUCCUGGCUCCUGCCAUCGGAUCAGCGCGGUGCGCUGGCCGCAGCGGCCAUUGGAGGGUGAACCAAUGGCAAAGGAAGACCUUUCUCUCUGUCUCUCUCUCACUGUCCACUCUGCCUGUCAAAAAAAAAAAAAAAGAUCUGAGGGAAAGAAUAUUUACCCGUGGCCAAAGAAACAUGCUAUUGAAGCUGUGUUGAUAAAAUUACUGCUAUGGGAGAUCAACUUCUGUCCAGAGGCAGAGUUGUGGGGGACUGUGGGGGGCUGUGGGGGGGCGGCUCUUGCAUCUUCUCUUUUACAACUGCUUCUGAUAACUUCCUUUAACUCAAGGGAAAUGUUCACUGACUCUCUGUGCCUCAUGACAUAUGACACGUUCAUUAUGAAGAUAAAUGUGAAGGUCCCAUUUGGAUACAGAUCACAUUUGACUAUAAAAUGGCAUUGGCAUCAGUUUUGUUGUUAUUAAUAACAGCACUAAUUUGGUUACCAAAGAACCCAAACUCCCUCUGAUGAAUUUGAUAGACAAUUUUUCUGUUUUAUUAUUAAUAUUGUAUAAGUAAUUUAUAUUCCUUACAAAAGACAUGAGCAGUACAAAGUAAUAAAAAAUCACUUAUAACUCACUUUCCAGGUGUAAAAAAAAAUAUUUUGUUGUAAAUUCAUCUCUCAUGUUUCUCUCCCAUGUGUGUCUAGCUAUGCAUGUGUGCAUGUGUGUGUUAAUAUGUGUGAAACUAGAAAAAUGGUAUCAUUCUCCAUUCUUUUGUAGCUCUCUUGUUAAUAGAGUGAUUCAUUGUGAACAAUUUUUCAUUUCAAUAAAAUGUAUUUAAUCUCAUCUUUAAGUGGCUGAAUUAAUAUCCCAUUGUGUCUGCAUACCAUAAUUUGUCCCAAUAUUUUUUAUUAUUGGAUUUUUAAAAAGAUUUAUUUAUUUGUUUAAAAGGCAGAGUUACAAAGAGGCAGAGGCAGAGGGAGAGAGGUAUUCCAUCUGCUGGUUCACUCCCUAUAUGGCCGCAGCAGCUGGUACUGCACUGAUCCAAAGCCAGGUGCUUCUUCCAGGUCUCUCAUGCUGGUUCAGAGGUCCAAGGACUUUGGCCAUCUUCUAUUGCUUUUCUAGGCCAUAGCAGAGAGCUGGAUCAGAAGUGGAGCAGCCAGGACUCAAACCGACAGUCAUAUGGGAUGCCAGCACUGCAGGUAGCGGCUUUACCCGCUACCCCAUAGUGCCGGCCUCAAGGGUCUUUUAAAAUAGUCGUAAUCCUCUACAGUGCUGCAGGAACACCUUUGACUGGCUCAUCUGAAGCUCUCCUAGAAGCAGCAUGAUGAGCCAGGGAGUAUGCGCACUUUAUGGUUCAAGAUGCAGAGGCCAGCCCUCACUCCAGAAGGCUGUCCAUCUGCUGCACAAACCACAGAACCUGGAAAAGCUGGUUUCCUCACAGCCUCACCAAUCAGGCAUUUCCAUUCUCUUUAAACUUUGCCAACUUGACAGGCAUAAAAUGAUAAAAUGUAUCAACUUGGAUUUCUUGCUUAGUGGUGGGCUUAAAUAUCUUUUUCAUGUAUUUCUCAGUAAUUUUAUUUUGUGUUUUGUAAAUUGCCCAUAUAUGUUCUUCGUUAUUUUUGCUUUAUCUAAUGUUUCUUGAAAAAGCAAUAUGUAUUCUGCCUUGUUUCAGAACACAGUUUUGGAUUUCCUUAAAAUUUGAUUUCUUCCUUAGAAUUUUUCCUCAUGGAAGAAAGGCAUGCAAUGAUUUUUUUUGACAGAGAGAGAGAGAGAGAGAGACAGAGAGAAAGGUCUUCCUUUUUUCCGUUGGUUCACCCUCCAAUGGCCGCUGCGGCUGACGCACUGCGCUGAUCCGAAUCCAGGAGCCAGGUGCUUCCUCCUGGUCUCACAUGCAGGUGCAGGGCCCAAGGACUUGGGCCAUCCUCCACUGCACUCCUGGGCCACAGCAGAGAGCUGGACUGGAAGAGGAGCAAUCAGGACAGAAUCCAGUGCUCCAACCGGGACUAGAGCCUGGGGUGCUGGCGCCACAGGCGGAGGAUUAGCCUAUUGAGCCAUGGUGCUGGCUGCAUGCAAUGAUUUUAAGAAGUGAAAAAAAAAAAAAACAAAACUACAGGCAACAAAAUAUCCACAAGCUAUAUAUAUAUAUAUAUUUUCUAGUAUUUUAUUCUACAAUUUUAAAAUCUUCUCUCUUACCCCAACCCUUGCCAUGAUCUUCCAUUUUUAGUGUGAGUCCAAGGAUAAAUAGACAACCUAACUUUUAUGCUUAGUUUGAGGUCUAGAAUCUUCCAUAAAAUAAUUCGCUUAUCUGUGCUUGUGGAUAAGUGGAAGAUUGAGUAUAAGCAAUGGUAGUUGGAAGAUGCCUGUUUAUAUCAAUGCCUACAGGGCUUCUGCAACCCAAGCAUUUUUUUUUAAAGAUUUAUUUAUUUGAAAGAGUUACACAGAGAGAGAAGGAGAGCAGAGAGAGAGAGAGAGAGGUCUUCCAUCUGCUGGUUCACUCCCCAGUUGGCUGCAAUGGCCAGAGCUGUGCUGAUCCAAAGCCAGGAACCAGGAGCUUCCUCCCAGUCUCCCAUGUGGGGGCAGGGGCCCAAGGACUUGGGCCAUCUUCUACUGCUUUCCUAGGUCACAGCAGAGAGCUGGAUCAGAAAUGGAGCAUCUAGGACACGAACCAGCACCCAUGUGGGAUGCCGGCACUGCAGGCAGCAGCUUUACCCACUACACCACAUCACUGGCUCCCCAAGUAUCUUUAAUAGCAACACAGGCAAUUUGUUGAAAAUGACAGAAUCUGUAUUUUGACACUGAAAUGAGAAUUCUACAUAACUCACUGUGUAUACAAUUAAGGAAAAUUACACAAAGAAUUACAAAUGAUGCAUAGUAGCUUCUGAUACCAAUUCUAAGUUUCUACCAAGAACGACAGAAACCUCUGCUCUGCUCUGGUUGCCUGCAGAGCUCCUUCAGCUCCCUCUGUCUCUUCAGAGGUCUUCUGCUCCUGUUUCUCUUCCUGUCCUCAAGUUGAUCUCUCUCUUCAGUCAGGGUCUUCUUUCCCUCUUAUGACAUGCUCCCCUCUCCACCAUUGCCCAUGUCAUACUUUAUCCUUCAUUUAAAAAAUAAUUUUUUCAUUUUAUUUGAAAGGCAGUAAGACAGAUAAAGAGUGAUAUUUCAUCUGCUGGUUCUUUCCCCAACUGCCCACAGCUGUUAGGAACCCAGAACUCCAUAUAGGUCUCCUACGUGAUGGCAGGGACACAAGCAGUUGAUCCAUCAUCUGCUGGCUCCCAGAGUGUGCAUUAGCAGGAAACUUUAUUGGAAGUAGAGCAGCUGGGACUCAAAGAGGCACUCUGACAUGGGAAGUGGGUGUCCCAAGCAGUGUCUUGACCACUGAGUCAAAUGCUGGUCCCUAUUCAUUUAUUCUUGAACUGGAGUCCUUAAGGAUGCUUGUAUCCCCUAAUUCUCUUUGCAGAAUGGCUGUCCCUGUUGUUGGUGGCCAUUACAUAAAGGUUCUGAAGCUUUCUAUUCUCAAAGGAUACUGAUUGCCACUCUGUUCCUCAGCACUACUGCUUUGUUUCCCACUCAUACUAUGGCAGUGGAAAGGGAUUUGCACAUGUUUGCAAAGGACUGUUUCUAGAUUGGGGCCUGGCUGCAAGCUAUUUCCCCCUUAAAUUAUUUAAAGACACAAGCAUUGUGUCUCACUUCAGUAAGAUAUCUACAGACAUGGCUUUAACUGCUUAACCACAUAACUCUCGAAAUUGCUAAGAGCCAUUCAUAUUUCCAUAGAUGUUGCAAGAAUCAGAAAGACACCUAAUCCACUAGGGAGCUAUGUGCAGUUAAUAUUUGUGAAAUCAACUACCCACCCCCAUUGUGGACUCCGUGUUUAUCCUUGAUAAUCCAUUAGCUCACACAUCUGCAGCUGGGGUAAGAGGUGCACUGAUUUUGCCCAAAUUUGGAAUGGUGCAUUUUUCACUAUUCCCCUCUUGGCCAUCACUAAUGCAAGGCAGGUUGUGUCUUACAGACUUCUGAAAAUAUUUGGGGGAUAUUAGGAGGUUUAUAGCACAAAACAGGAAGCAACUUCUAGUUGCGUGUCAGGAGUUCUUAUUAUUAAUAUUCUAUCUCCCACCCUCUAAACCAGAGAAAAUUUUCUCAGUAUGUUGGGGCUUGGCCUCCUAUCACAGUGUUCACUCCCCUCUCUUUCAUGUGGACUAUUUCAUCUCUCGUUUUCUUUUAAUUCCCAAGCUCUCAUUUCCUAUUAAAUACCCAAGAUUUCUAUUUUACUAUUAAACAGAACAGUUUAUCUUCAUUUUGCUGCAGCCCUCUUUUCCUAGACGGUGCCAAAGCCUUGUGUUUUAGAUUCCAAAGAGCAUUUAUCAGAGAUCCAUUUUUGACAAGAUUAAGCUGUCAGUGCAGAAUUGGUGAUUCACUAAAUAUAUAUAUUAUAGGUGUAGCUACCAAACAUUGACCCCAAGCAUUGAGUAGUGCAGCCUUUAGAGAGCGAUCCACCAAAGCUUCCAAAUUGGCUGUCAACAUUCAGACAUUCUACUUUCCCAUUCUUUCACUUUGUCAUCGUCUUUGUCUUCUUGUGAGACAGCCACUUUUGCAGACCUUCCCGUAUCGCUGGGGUUUGAAUCCACAGUCUCAGAUGUCUGACUUGUCUUGCUCUUGAUUAGCAGGUGCAGGGCCAAGUACUUCAUGCCAUUCUCCUCAGCACAGGCUACUGGUCAACAUCCACCUCCCCUGUGUCCGUUUCCUCUUACUCAUGGAAUGUGCAGAGAUAGAGGAGCAGCCCAAAGGGCACAGUACCCAGGCCUUCUCUAGGUUGGUUUUUCUGUCCUUUGACCUGCACUUUUUAGUAAGUGAUUACUUUAGCACACAGUGGGGUGUAAGUUGCCUCAUGGAAGUACUUCACCUCCUUCUUGAGGAAAUCCAGUUUGAUGUUUCCUGAUGAGAAGGAAGCCUCUGUCGUUCUGCCAAGUACUCUCACCCUGCUCUCCUUCAGAAAAGUCAUAUAUCAUCUGGCCUGGCCCGGUGCUGCUCAGCCUAAUGCUGUCGCUGCACUGUGAUUACCUGAACUGACCCUCCUGCCUGCCUUAGAUACAAUCGUUUCUCACGAGUAUAAUUCAUGGCCGUCACUGAGAGCUUGCAGGUGAUUCAUUUCCACUGUCUCCUGUGGCUCCUAAAUAAAACGCUUUAAGCAAAGAAUAGACAAAAGGGAAGACUGUGGACAGUGAUGAAUUCCUGCUUCACUCCCAGCUGACAUGUGGCCCUUGCAGACAAGGACCCUUGCAUUAAGAGCAAAGGGAUCACUCACACCAUUGUGUUUUUGUAAUAAAUUGCAACACUCACUAUAAUGUGAUUGAAACAUUUAUUAAGAAGGAUGCUAUUAAAAUGAAAAAUUCCCACUCAGUUCACUUACUAUUAUACUAACCUUUUUACGCUGUCUUGCUGAUUAGCCUGACGCCAAGCCCUGAGCCAGGAGACUGUUGACUGUCCCAGAUGCCUGACCCUAAUACCACAUUAAUGUACUUUACCUCCUCUGCAACUGAGCCCCAGAACUUGCCGCAGAGAGUGAUGGUCCAACCAGAAGUACAUCUCGAGGCUCUUUAAUGUGGGUUUCCCCUUUUGUUGGCUACUUCCAGGCACAAUGAAAAAACUACUCCAUUUUUCAGGGGAAGGAAAUACACAAAAGAAUUCUGGGCAUAGAUUUGGAGAUGAAGGGAGUAUGUUCUGGAAAAGGAAACUAAGAUGACUGGGGAAGAGAGAGGACUAAGGAGGCCUAACGGGCUGCACUUAAUGAGUGGCACAUGGACUGGCAAUAUCAACAUCACCUGGAAGCUUGUUAAGAAUUCAGAAUCUCUUGCCCUGUUCCAGAAUUUCUAAGCCAGAAUCCACAGGCAUAUGAUACCCAGGUGAUUUGCAUAAAAGUCUGGACAGAACUGUGAGUGAAGCAACUAAACUCCUAUGCAUAUACCCACAAGGGUGCUAUAUGUAACUCAUCUAAAGGAGUUAGCCGAAAAGCACCCUGUCUGGCACCUAGUAUAUGCUCAUGGAGGAAGAAAAGACAAGGAGAGGAUGUAAGAGAUGAGAUAGCGUCUGUUUUGCAUUACCCAGAGACCAACCUCCUGGACUGAGACUGAAAUAUCCUUCUUGAAUUGGCAAUAUUGGUCACCAAGAACAAACACUUGUGUCCAGGGCUAUGUGAACCCUCAGUCAAUGCAGAGGAGAUAAUGAUUGACUCUUUGCAUCGUUUAUUUAUUUUUUUUAGGACUUAUUUAUUUGAAAGUCAGAGCUACACAGAGAGAGGAGAGGCAGAGAGAGAGAGAAAGGAGAGGCAGAGAGAGAGAGAGGAGAGGCAGAGAGAGAGAGAGAGAGAGAGAGAGGUCUUCCAUCUGCUGGUUCACUCCCCAAUUGGUGGCAAUGGCCAGAGCUGUGCUGAUCCAAAGCCAGGAGCCAGGAGCUUCUCUGGGUCUCCCAUGUGGGUGCAGGGGCCCAAGGACAUGGGCCAUCUUCUGCUGCUUUCCCAGGCCAUAGUUGAGAGCUGGAUCAAAAGUGGAGCAGCCACGUCUCAAACCGGUGCUCAUAUGGGAUGCCAGCACUUCAGAGCGUUAACCCACUGUACCACAGCACUGGCCCCUGUAUCCUUUCUGUUCCCUGCCGGUUGCAUGGCAGCAGAGGUAUUUCGGGAUGUAACUCCAGCUUCUGUGUUAAAUCUGAUUGAUCUAAUUCAGUGGCUUCCAAAAGGCAGUCUUGGGACCAGACACAUCAAUAUCAUUUAUAAAAUUUUUAGAAAUGCAAAUUUUCCAUGCUCAAUGCAGACUGCUGAGUCAGAAAUUUGGGGGGCCAAGUUCUCUAGUAGAUACUAAGGAACACACAAAUCUGAGAACCAAUGGUCUCACACAAUAGACCACUGAGUUCUGUUGGACUAAUGGGAAUUUGUUCAGAAACUCAGACCCAAGCCGCUCGAUGACAGUGGGAUUGGUUCAGGAAUGCAUAUGGAAUCUAAAUAUGGGCCAAAGAGACUUGAAUAGAAAGUUCUUUGGGUUUUCUGAGGAAAGCUUUGCCACUUUAUACAGAGCCUUAGGAAAGACACUUUCUCUCCCUCUAGAUGAUGCUGUGGACCCAUAUAAAUCCACUACUGCUGCUGCUGUCUUGUCAAUAGCCUGGAGGAAUCUGGCACAGGGGUGAGGACAGAGGAAAGGCGAUCACAGGAAAAUGGCAUGGGAGCCCACCUACUUCUAGACUAUACUUAUGAAAGCCAUUCUACUUCUUUCUUUGCAUUAGUCAGAUCAAGUUGCCUGUUAUUUGUAGCUUAAAGCAUUUAACUGACAUAGCUUUGAUGUAGAGAAUAAGAUUCAUUGGCCUAGUUUUGCUGACAGUUUCAACACUCUUCAAACACAAAGGUGACAUUGAAACUAUUUCAUAGCUGGUAUAGUCCAGGCACAAUUUGAAGUGAUGAUGGCGGGAUAUUUCAUUAUUCAUUUAGGAGGACUUACCAAAGUAAAAAUCUUCCUUCUGAUCACCCAUGUAGCAAUGAUAGCACUUUUAUAAAAUUCCAUCAGGGAAGAGCCUGAUUGUUUUUUAAUUCCAGUGGGCCAUUUUUGUUCUUCUGAAAUCCUAAUGGCUGACUGUCAAUCAAAGGGACACUUAUAUGACUGAGACUUCCUUUCAACUCUUAAGUCAGCAUUUUUAUUUUACUGUCUACAUUUUCUACACAGAAAAAAGGAAUAGCUUGCAGUUAUAUUGUAAUAAAUCAUAAAAUAAUUCCUUUAAUUCUCCUCCUCUCUUUCCUUCUCAAAUAUUCAAAUUUAAUAAAGUUUUGAUAAAGAAAAACUAUGGAAUAAAAUUAUUUUUUAAAGAUUUAUUAAGAUCAAAUACUUUAAUUUAUACCAGAACAACAUUAAUGUAAGUUAUUG
Oryctolagus cuniculus (rabbit) is the source of this 13292-nucleotide non-coding RNA. Lineage: Eukaryota; Metazoa; Chordata; Mammalia; Lagomorpha; Leporidae. The record is from RefSeq and is a predicted model, not a curated record.